Molecule: ribosomal RNA, 497 nt
Filed under: uncultured bacterium
Lineage: Bacteria
Description: partial 16S ribosomal RNA
Rfam family: Bacterial small subunit ribosomal RNA
Source: RNAcentral
GAUGAACGCUGGCGGCGUGCCUAAUGCAUGCAAGUCGAGCGAACAGAUGAGGAGCUUGCUCCUCUGACGUUAGCGGCGGACGGGUGAGUAACACGUGGAUAACCUACCUAUAAGACUGGGAUAACUUCGGGAAACCGGAGCUAAUACCGGAUAAUAUAUUGAACCGCAUGGUUCAAUAGUGAAAGACGGUUUUGCUGUCACUUCUAGAUGGAUCCGCGCCGCAUUAGCUAGUUGGUAAGGUAACGGCUUUCCAAGGCAACGAUGCGUAGCCGACCUGAGAGGGUGGUCGGCCACACUGGAACUGAGACAGCGUCCAGACUACUACGGGAGGCAGCAGUAGGGAAUCUUCCGCAAUGGGCGAAAGCCUGACGGAGCAACGCCGCGUGAGUGAUGAAGGUCUUCGGAUCGUAAAACUCUGUUAUUAGGUAAGAACAAAUGUGUAAGGAACUAUGCACGUCUUGACGGUACCUAAUCAGAAAGCCACGGCUAACUACGUG